Molecule: ribosomal RNA, 468 nt
Filed under: uncultured bacterium
Lineage: Bacteria
Description: partial 16S ribosomal RNA
Rfam family: Bacterial small subunit ribosomal RNA
Source: RNAcentral
GACGAACGCUGGCGGCGUGCUUAACACGUGCAAGUCGAACGGAAAGGCCCUGCUUUUGUGGGGUGCUCGAGUGGCGAACGGGUGAGUAACACGUGAGUAACCUGCCCUUGACUUUGGGAUAACUUCAGGAAACUGGGGCUAAUACCGGAUAGGAGCUCCUGCUGCAUGGUGGGGGUUGGAAAGUUUCGGCGGUUGGGGAUGGACUCGCGGCUUAUCAGCUUGUUGGUGGGGUAGUGGCUUACCAAGGCUUUGACGGGUAGCCGGCCUGAGAGGGUGACCGGCCACAUUGGGACUGAGAUACGGCCGAGACUCCUACGGGAGGCAGCAGUGGGGAAUAUUGCACAAUGGGCGGAAGCCUGAUGCAGCAACGCCGCGUGCGGGAUGACGGCCUUCGGGUUGUAAACCGCUUUCGCCUGUGACGAAGCGUGAGUGACGGUAAUGGGUAAAGAAGCACCGGCUAACUACGUG